AAUCAACGCUGGCGGCGUGCCUCAGACAUGCAAGUCGAACGCGAAAUUUCCCUUCGGGGAGAAAGUAGAGUGGCGCACGGGUGAGUAACACGUAGGUAAUUUGCCUUUGGGUGGGGAAUAACUCAGGGAAACUUGAGCUAAUACCGCAUAAUGCAGCGGCUCGACAUCGAGACAGUUGUUAAAGCGGGGGAUUGGAGCAAUCCGACCUCGCGCCUAAAGAGAAGCCUGCGGCAGAUUAGCUAGUUGGUAAGGUAAUGGCUUACCAAGGCGACGAUCUGUAACCGGCCUGAGAGGGCGGUCGGUCACACUGACACUGACAUACGGGUCAGACUCCUACGGGAGGCAGCAGUCGGGAAUUUUGGGCAAUGGGCG
RNAcentral lists this ribosomal RNA (372 nucleotides) under uncultured bacterium. RNAcentral's name for it is "bacterial SSU rRNA". It matches the Rfam family "Bacterial small subunit ribosomal RNA", at positions 32 to 377 of the family's 1533-position model. The record is from RNAcentral.